RNAcentral lists this unclassified non-coding RNA (241 nucleotides) under uncultured Leotiomycetes. RNAcentral describes it as "sequence contains ITS2". The stretch from base 1 to 52 matches the Rfam family "5.8S ribosomal RNA", at positions 103 to 154 of the family's 154-position model. The record is from RNAcentral. Lineage: Eukaryota; Fungi; Ascomycota; Leotiomycetes.
AACGCACAUUGCGCCCUCUGGUAUUCCGGGGGGCAUGCCUGUUCGAGCGUCAUUACAACCCUCAAGCUCUGCUUGGUAUUGGGCACUGCAGGUUUCUGCAGGCCUUAAAAUCAGUGGCGGUGCCAUUCGGCUUCAAGCGUAGUAAUUCUUCUCGCUUUGGAGACCCGAGUGGUUACUAGCCAACAACCCCCAAUUUUUUCAGGUUGACCUCGGAUCAGGUAGGGAUACCCGCUGAACUUAA